AACGAACGCUGGCGGCAGGCCUAACACAUGCAAGUCGAGCGAGGACUUCGGUUCUAGCGGCGGACGGGUGAGUAACGCGUGGGAAUGUGCCCUUCUCUACGGAAUAGCCCUGGGAAACUGGGAGUAAUACCGUAUACGCCCUAUUGGGGAAAGAUUUAUCGGAGAAGGAUCAGCCCGCGUUGGAUUAGGUAGUUGGUGGGGUAAUGGCCUACCAAGCCGACGAUCCAUAGCUGGUUUGUGAGGAUGAUCAGCCACACUGGGACUGAGACACGGCCCAGACUCCUACGGGAGGCAGCAGAGGGGGAUCUUGGACAAUGGGGGCAACCCUGAUGUUGCCAUGACGCGAGAGUGAUGAAGGCAUGAGGGAUGUAAUGCGCUGUCAACUGGGAAGAUAAUGACGGUACCAGCAGAAGAAGCCCCGGCUAACUCCGUG
RNAcentral lists this ribosomal RNA (433 nucleotides) under uncultured bacterium. RNAcentral describes it as "partial 16S ribosomal RNA". It matches the Rfam family "Bacterial small subunit ribosomal RNA", at positions 29 to 507 of the family's 1533-position model. The record is from RNAcentral.